UACGGAGGAUCCGAGCGUUAUCCGGAUUUAUUGGGUUUAAAGGGUGCGCAGGCGGGAGAUUAAGUCGGCGGUGAAAUUUUGCAGCUCAACUGUAAAAGUGCCUUCGAAACUGGUUUCCUUGAGUGUAGAUGAAGUAGGCGGAAUUUGUGGUGUAGCGGUGAAAUGCAUAGAUAUCACGAGGAACUCCGAUUGCGAAGGCAGCUUACUAAGCUACUACUGACGCUCAGGCACGAAGGCGUGGGGAUCAAACAGGAUUAGAUACCCGCGUA
Molecule: ribosomal RNA, 269 nt
Filed under: uncultured prokaryote
Description: partial 16S ribosomal RNA
Rfam family: Bacterial small subunit ribosomal RNA
Source: RNAcentral